UAGGGGAAAACUCGGCUGCUUUUAUCUUUUGGAAUGGCAUCGAUUCUUGUGCGAUCGUGCUUUGUCUUAGGCUUCUGCACCACGUUAUGAACGAAAACUGCUCGCUUCCACCCUGAAAGGACUGGGAAUGCUAUGCAGAUGUAGAAAUCUCAGCAACCUCUCCAGCAACAUGUCUGCCUCCAUGCCACCAGGCUUCUCACCAUUGAUGAUAAUGGGAGCAAGCCCCAGAUUUUCUGCCUGGAGAAAUCCUGCCUGUACAUUGGCCAAAACAGCUUUAUUCAUCAGCCAAUAAGAGAAACAUAUAUUCACAGCAUACAGAAGGAUAUCCCCCCAUCAUGGAAAGUCAACAAACUUGAUUAAGAGCACCACAACACUUAAAAUGACUAAGAAGAUAAAUUUUAUGUAGAAUUCUGUCUGGGUCCAAAUAUCAAUAUGAUAUUUCGGAUGCAAGGCCUCAAGCUCAAUCCCAGGAGCUCGAAUCUCCCAUUCUUUCAGAAGCUGGCUGAUUACCUUGGGAUACCUGGCCUUGGUGGGGACUGGUUCCUAGUUGUGUAACAAUAGAUCUAGGCCCCUGGGUGGACUCACAUCCAUCAUGGGGGCUGGUGGAACGUGCUUGGAGACUAGUAAGGGACUAGUGAGGACAUGCAGUUUUAGGGGUGUCUCUAGGAUUAAAAGAAAUAUUUGAUAUCAGCUUUAUAUAUGAUAAUAGAUGUCUUCUGCUCUCAC
Cricetulus griseus (Chinese hamster) is the source of this 726-nucleotide non-coding RNA. Lineage: Eukaryota; Metazoa; Chordata; Mammalia; Rodentia; Cricetidae. The record is from RefSeq and is a predicted model, not a curated record.